CUACGGGAUGCAGCAGUGAGGAAUAUUGCACAAUGGGGGGAACCCUGAUGCAGCAACGCCGCGUGGGGAUGACGCAUUUCGGUGUGUAAACUCCUUUUAUAUGUCAAGAAAAUGACGGUAGCAUAUGAAUAAGCACCGGCUAACUCCGUGCCAGCAGCCGCGGUAAUACGGAGGGUGCAAGCGUUACUCGGAAUCACUGGGCGUAAAGGACGCGUAGGCGGGUUGGAAAGUCAGGUGUGAAAUCCUACAGCUUAACUGUAGAACUGCACUUGAAACUUCUAAUCUAGAGUAUGGGAGGGGGAGAUGGAAUUAGUGGUGUAGGGGUAAAAUCCGUAGAUAUCACUAGGAAUACCUAAAGCGAAGGCGAUCUCCUGGAACAUUACUGACGCUAAGGCGUGAAAGCGUGGGGGGCAAACAGGAUUAGAUACCGUGGUAGUC
Molecule: ribosomal RNA, 438 nt
Filed under: uncultured bacterium
Lineage: Bacteria
Description: partial 16S ribosomal RNA
Rfam family: Bacterial small subunit ribosomal RNA
Source: RNAcentral